AUGCCAUCUAACAUUGGUAACUCGAAAAAAGGGGCUUUUAAAUACCUAAAGGACCGUUUGUGGAGCAAGGUUCAAGGGUGGAUCGAGAGCACCUUGUCAUCUGCGAGCAAGGAAGUGCUAGUGAAAUCAGUUGCUCAAGCAGUCCCUGUUUUUUCAAUGUCAUGUUUUAAGCUGCCAAGGGGUUUAUGUGAACACCUAAACAUGUUAAUAAGGAAGUUUUGGUGGGGAAGCAAAGAAGGGAAAUGGAAACCACAUUGGGUGUCCUGGAAAGCUAUGACUCAGCCGAAGGGUUUAGGUGGUCUUGGCUUCAAAGAUUUUGAGUUAUUCAACUUGGCGAUGGUAGCCAGACAUGCAUGGAGGAUUCUCCAGAACCCAGAGACAUUAAGCUCCCGUCUGCUAAAGAGCAUAUACUACCCGUCGUCCGAUUUCCUCGAUGCGACUUUGGGUAGCCACCUGAGCCAAGUGUGGAGAGCAAUUAUAGAAGGGAGAGAUGUCCUGAAACAAGGUCUGAUAAGAAGAAUUGGCAAUGGGGAGACGACACAAAUAUGGUCACAAAACUGGCUGCCACGAGAUGAAAUGCUCCGCCCGUACUGGUGCCUCUCACAUGGUAGGCCAACUUUGGUCUCUGAAUUAAUUGAUCACACAACGGCUUCAUGGAAUAAGCAGCGCAUUGUUGCAACGUUCAUGCCAAUGGACGUUCAGGUGAUUAUGGGCAUUCCGUUGUGCACACGGAAUAUACCAGAUUUCUGGGCAUGGCACUUUGAUAAACAUGAUAUUUUCUCAGUCAAGUCAGCUUAUAACAUACUUGUGGCCACGAGACAGAGAAGAGAGGAUUGGCUCGAGAGUAAUGCAGGGUCAUCUAGUUCCGCUGCGGAGCAGGGUGCGUGGAAGUCGUUAUGGAAGACGAAAGUCCCUGGCAAGAUUCAUAUGUUUAUGUGGAGAUUAGCUAAACAGUCUCUGCCUACAAAUGAUGUCCGUGCUCACAGACACAUGGCAGAUUCUGACCGAUGUGGAUUGUGUGGAAACCAAGACUCAUGGCGUCAUUCGCUACUGGAGUAUUCGUCAUCGCGAAGCGUUUGGGCUUUGUCAGAAGAGGAUAUCACACAUAAAAUCACGACCACAACAGAACCACAUGCCAAGAAAUGGUUAUUUACUCUGAUGGAGGAGCUCCCCCACAAGAAAUUUGUCAAGAUGGCUGUAACUCUAUGGUCGAUUUGGUAUGCUCGACAAAAGGCAAUCCACGAAGGGAUCUUCCAGAGCCCUCAAGCAACACAUCUUUUUGUUCAGAGGUUCAUUGAUGAACUAGGGAUUGUUGGUAAUUCACAAAGUCGAGCUGUUCCAAACAAUCAAGCUCCAGCCGUACGUAAACAGAAACCUAAAAGACCACCGCCGGGCUUCUGCAAAAUCCAUGUCGACCCGGGGUGCGAUCACGAGGAGGAUCUGCAGCUGCUGUGUGCAGAGACGAAGCGGACAACUACAUGGGUAGUUCGGCCUUAG
This 1497-nucleotide ribosomal RNA is filed under the name Triticum aestivum (bread wheat). Its description in RNAcentral is "partial small subunit ribosomal RNA". The record is from RNAcentral. Lineage: Eukaryota; Viridiplantae; Streptophyta; Magnoliopsida; Poales; Poaceae.